This 1277-nucleotide long non-coding RNA is filed under the name Papio anubis (olive baboon). RNAcentral's name for it is "lncRNA (ENSPANG00000040611.1)". The record is from RNAcentral. Lineage: Eukaryota; Metazoa; Chordata; Mammalia; Primates; Cercopithecidae.
AUGUGAUUGUAGUGGUUGUGGCAGGAUGAGGAUUUAAAAACAAAAUCACUUGUUUUUGUAUUUCAUAGGUGUUCAGAACAAGAAGAGUUUUAUCUGGUCCUGAUAUCAACAUUUUCCCCAUUACCUCUUGAUGCGUUGACUACAAGUUCACCCAAAGAUCCUAGACCUUGACUUGAUGCUUUGACUUGAUGGAACUUGGGGUAGCCUUCCCUGAAAAAGUGCCUCUGCCUGGAAGAAUGAGUGCAGAGGAAAGAGGAAGCUGGACAAGGGAAGAAAGCAUUGGAGCCUGGGCCCUUCCAGAGGAAACAGAGUCAUCCUAGUAGGAGAUUGUAAUGGAAUGCUUCAGCUUGUCAGAGGUUUCCAGGAAUCUUCUGCACAAGGAACAGGAGAACCAGUGGAUAGUAUAGACCCUCAGUGAGUAAUGAGAGAAGGUUAUGUUUUACUUUGCAAUUUUUUCCAGAGCCUUUAUCUUGAGUAGCUUCCAUGUGAUUAGCAGUGUAGCAAGUGGUUCAGCAUUUGGUGGAGAAGUAUUAAAAAAAAAAUGAAGCCAGAGGCUGGCUGUGGUGCCUCACACCUGUAAUCCUAGCACUUUGGGAGGCUGAGGCAGGCACAUCGCUUGAGCUCAGAAGUUCGAGACCAGCCUGGGAAACAGUGAGACCCCAUCUCUAGAAAAAUACAAAAAUUAGCCAGGUGUGCUGGUGCAUGCCUGUAGUUCCAGCUGCUCGGGAGGAUGAGGUGGGAACAUCAUUUGAGCCCAAGAGGUUGAGGCUGCAGUGAGCCGAAAUUGUGCCACUGUACUCUAGCCUGCAUCGAUAAAGUGAGACCCUGUCUCAAAAAAAAAAAAAAAAAUUGGAGCCAGAAUAUGUGGGUUUAAGAUCUAGCUCUGCCACUUUUUAGCUGUGUGACCUUCACCAUGCUAUUACAUGUCUCUGAGUGUCAAUUUUCUCAUUUGUAAUAAUUGGAAUAUCGUCUAUCUCAUAACUCCUACUUCAGAUGGUUGCUCAGAUACAUUUCAAAUAAAAUGAAACAAUCAUUAUUUCUCAAUCUUUCCUAAUAAUAAGAAUUGCCUGGGGUUUCUGUCAAACAUGAAGAUUAUAAAGUAUUUACCCUGAGGAAGUCCGAUUUAGCCGAUUCUGUUUGAUGAGCAGAAUUUAUGCUUUUAACAAUAACCAAGAUUUUUUUUUUUUCUUCAGGCAAGUGUAGAGGACAGUGAAAUGAUAGUGCUAUGUUAUGGUAAUGGUAAUGGCAGUGGUAAUGUUAGUUAAUAUUGUGAGAAC